Molecule: ribosomal RNA, 329 nt
Filed under: Gelanesaurus flavogularis
Lineage: Eukaryota; Metazoa; Chordata; Lepidosauria; Squamata; Gymnophthalmidae
Description: partial 12S ribosomal RNA
Rfam family: Bacterial small subunit ribosomal RNA
Source: RNAcentral
CUCCGCCAGAAAAUUACGGGUGAAAGCCUAAAACUCAAAAGACUUGACGGUAUUCCAACCUACCUAGAGGAGCCUGUUCCAUAAUCGACAACCCCCGAUAUACCUUACCACCCUUAGAACCAAUCAGCCUAUAUACCGCCGUCGUCAGCCCACCUUUUAAAAGAAUAAAAGUGAGCUAAAAAGUAUCUUACUAACAAGUCAGGUCAAGGUGUAGCUAAUAGGAAGGAGGUAAUGGGCUACAUUAUUUAAACUAAAUUAUAACGAAUUCUCAAUGAAAACUACAAUGAAGGUGGAUUUAGCAGUAAUUUAAACAAGAAUAUUUAAAUUAA